Molecule: ribosomal RNA, 424 nt
Filed under: uncultured bacterium
Lineage: Bacteria
Description: bacterial SSU rRNA
Rfam family: Bacterial small subunit ribosomal RNA
Source: RNAcentral
AACGAACGCUGGCGGCAUGCCUAACACAUGCAAGUCGAACGGGAUCCUGACUUCGGUUGGGUGAGAGUGGCGGACGGGUGAGUAACGCGUGGGAACCUGCCCAGUGGUGGGGGGAUAACUGCGGGAAACUGCAGCUAAUACCGCAUGAGCCCGAGAGGGGAAAGAUUUAUCGCCAUUGGAGGGGCCCGCGUUCGAUUAGGUAGUUGGUGAGGUAACGGCUCACCAAGCCUUCGAUCGAUAGCUGGUCUGAGAGGAUGAUCAGCCACACUGGGACUGAGAUACGGCCCAGACUCCUACGGGAGGCAGCAGUGGGGAAUAUUGGACAAUGGGGGGCAACCCUGAUCCAGCAAUGCCGCGUGAGUGAUGAAGGCCUCGGUUGUAAGGAUCUUUGUCACGGACGGAGUGAUGACGGUACCGUGGAGAA